CAGUCGCCGCGGUAAUACGAAGGGUGCAAGCGUUACUCGGAAUUACUGGGCGUAAAGCGUGCGUAGGUGGUGGUUUAAGUCCGUUGUGAAAGCCCUGGGCUCAACCUGGGAAUUGCAGUGGAUACUGGGUCACUAGAGUGUGGUAGAGGAUAGUGGAAUUUCCGGUGUAGCAGUGAAAUGCGUAGAGAUCGGAAGGAACAUCUGUGGCGAAGGCGACUAUCUGGGCCAACAUUGACACUGAGGCACGAAAGCGUGGGAAGCAAACAGGAUUAGAUACCCCAGUAGUCCCUGUCUCUUAUAC
This 301-nucleotide ribosomal RNA is filed under the name uncultured bacterium. RNAcentral describes it as "partial 16S ribosomal RNA". It matches the Rfam family "Bacterial small subunit ribosomal RNA", at positions 509 to 807 of the family's 1533-position model. The record is from RNAcentral.